Molecule: long non-coding RNA, 15533 nt
Filed under: Citrus sinensis (sweet orange)
Lineage: Eukaryota; Viridiplantae; Streptophyta; Magnoliopsida; Sapindales; Rutaceae
Description: long non-coding RNA (CSIN_LNC002598)
Source: RNAcentral
ACUCGAGCUUUCAUACAACAACUUGACAGUGAAUGCCAGUAGUGAUUCUUCCUUCCCCUCACAGGUUAGCAGACUGAGAUUGGCUUCUUGCAAACUGAGGGUGAUUCCUGAUCUUAAGAAUCAAUCAAAACUAUCUUACUUGGAUCUUUCAGACAAUCAAAUAUAUGGGGAAAUACCAAAUUGGGUUUGGGAAAUUGGGAAUGGUAAUCUUGUACAUCUAAAUCUUUCACACAAUCUCCUGGCCAGUCUGCAAAGACCUUAUAAUAUUUCUGAUCUCACUUGCAUGACUGUCCUAGACCUACAUUCCAACCAGCUCCAAGGAAACAUACCUUAACCACCACCAUAUGCAGCCCUUGUAGAUUACUCCAACAAUAAUUUUACUUCUUCCAUCCCAGAUGACAUUGGUAAUUCCAUGAACUUCACUGGCUUUUUUUCCCUUUCAAGCAAUUCCAUCACAGGAGUCAUCCCGGAAACUAUUUGCAGAGCAAAAAAUCUAUUAGUUCUUGACCUGUCAAAGAAUAAGUUGAGUGGAAAAAUGCCAACUUGUUUGAUCAAAAUGAGUGAGAUUCUUGGUGUUCUAAAUUUGAGGGGAAACAGCCUCAGUGGCACUCUAUCUGUCACAUUUCCGGGAAAUUGUGGAUUACAAACACUUGAUCUCAACGAAAAUCAACUAGGUGGAACAGUUCCAAAAUCCUUGGCCAAUUGCAGAAAGUUGGAGGUUCUAGACCUCGGGAAUAACAAGAUCAGAGAUACCUUUCCAUGCUGGCUAAAGAAUAUCUCAAGUUUGCGUGUCCUAGUUUUGCGAUCGAACAGCUUUUAUGGGAGUAUUACUUGUCGAGAGAACGAUGACUCCUGGCCAAUGCUUCAAAUUGUUGACAUAGCUUCGAACAACUUUGGCGGAAGAGUCCCCCAGAAAUGCAUAACUUCCUGGAAGGCAAUGAUGUCUGAUGAAGAUGAAGCACAAUCAAACUUCAAACACCUCCAUUUUGAGUUCCUGAAGUUAAGUAAAAUGUACUAUCAGGAUGUGGUGACAGUUACCAGCAAAAGUCGAGAGAUGGAAUUAGUGAAGAUCCUAAGUAUAUUCACAUCCAUUGACUUUUCAAUGAACAAUUUUGAAGGGCCAAUACCAGAAGAGAUAGGACGACUCAAAUCGAUUUACGGUCUGAACUUGUCACAAAAUGCUUUUACGGGCCCCAUCCCAUCAGCUAUUGGAAACUUGCAACAGCUUGGGUCUUUAGACAUCUCAAUGAAUCAUCUGAGUGGGCAGAUCCCCACAUCGCUUGCAAACAUAUCUUUUCUAUCCUUCCUGAAUCUUUCACACAAUGACCUAGUGGGAGAGAUUCCAACAGGUACUCAACUUCAAUCAUUUUUGCCAAAUUCUUUCGAAGGUAACGACGGCUUAUGCGGUCCUCCGUUGAAUGUUUGCCAAACAAAUUCCAGCAAGGCACUUCCUUCAGCAGCAGCUUCAACAGAUGAAAUCGAUUGGUUUUUCAUAGCGAUGGCAAUUGGAUUUGUGGUAGGCUUUGGAUCAGUUGUUGCACCUCUAAUGUUUUCAAAGAUGAUAUAAAUUAUUUCACGCGCAGAAACGAUAGUUGAUAAAUCUGUUGAUGAGAUUGUUAUACCAUUUGUUUAUACCAUUUGAUGAGAAACGAUACCAUUUGUUAACAAGAAAUUUCAAGUAAGAGGAUACAUUAUUUUGACAAUCUUUACCUCUAGUUCGAGUACUCCAAACCAGAUGUAGGCCGUUAAUUCAUAUAUAGACAUGCAUGCAUGUAAUAUGAGACAAAUGAUUAUUGCUACAACUAUAAAUAAAUUAAUAUAACUUGACUAUCGAAUAGACGUAGGAAAUAGCUACCGGUUUCAUAUUUAUUUGGGUGCUUAAUUUUUAGAGUAAUUUUAAAAUAAGAGAAUUCUUCAUUUUACUAAAAUAAGGAACCAUAAAAAAGAUCUAAAUUUUAAUUUUUUUAAACUUUUCCUUUAUUUAAAUAAAAUAAAAUAAAAAGUUUAUGACUUAGAAAAUGACUAUUAUCUUGUUCGCUUCGGAGCAGAGGAGGAUGUGGAAUUUGCUCUCACGCAAGGCCCUUGGACUAUCUUUGGGCAUUACUUAACUGUUCAAAAGUGGUCUCCAUCCUUUGAUUGCUUAUCCGAUAAGAUUGAAACCAUAGUGGCGUGGAUCAGACUUCCAGGCAUGCCAUUGCAUUACUAUCAUAAAAGGGUCCUUCGAAUCCUGGGGGAAGUGGUUGGUCGUGUUAUAAGGAUAGAUUACAAUACGGAGGCUGCAAAACGUGGAAAAUUUGCUCGAGUUGCUGUUGAAAUCUGUUUGAAUAAGCCUUUAGUCUCACAAUUUCAGUUGAAUGGCAAGAUUCAAAGGAUUGAAUAUGAGGGGCUCCCCACUAUAUGUUUUGAGUGUGGCAAGUAUGGGCACACAACUGAUACCUGUCAAAGCAAACAGGGGGUGCCGAGAGGGCAAGGCUGCGACGGAGUAUAUCAACCGGAGGGUGAAGCGACGGGAGUAACGAUGGAUCUUGCAACCGUUGAUAACCCGAAUAAUUCGCUUUUUGGUCCUUCGAUGAUUGUUGCUAAAAAAAGGAAGGCCACGGAAGGCUAAGGAAUGUACGAUCCAAGGAAAUUAUAAUCAAGCCCAGAAUGGUAAUGUUCGAUCUGGUUCCCGUUUUUCGCUCCUCAAUGCUAAAGAUAAUAUGGAUAAUGAGCGCAAAAUCAAUGAAAGGAUUCCUAGCAAUCAUGCACUUGAGAUCAGCCUGGACUUGCAAGAUGAAAACCAAAAUAGCAAUCAGCCCAUGCAACAUAACCAUAGAUAUUCCUUACGUAAACACAAUCAAAGGUCAAACCGUGGCAACGUUGCUCAUCCUCCCAGCCCUAGCCUGGUCCAGUUACGUCCCCGCCCUCCCCAUGCAAACCAUGCAGACCAAAACAAACUCUUAUCACCAGACAUACACAAUAUUAACCCAGCCCUUGCCACAUUACAGAAUCAGUCAGCCACUACCAGAGCCAACCAACCCCACCUCGCAAGUACUUCCAUUGAUCCUCUUAAACAUUCGGUGUACUCCUUUGCUAAUCCCCCUGAUGGUGCGGACAUGCUGACUCAGUUUGCUAGAGCGAACCCUCUUUUUGCCAAUAUGACAAAGGAUAAUAGUAACAAUCCCAUGGGUGAACCACCUGAUAAUGGGGGAUGGAAUGGGAUUGGUGAAGAUGAGGAAUCGGAAGGAAGCACUUAUGUGGCUCGAUGUGGUGUUGACGAGUCCUGAGAUGAUUCAGAAUCUGAAGGGUCUCUAGAGGAAGAGACAGAUAUGGAGUUGGAGCUUCAAGCUCACACCCUUCGUCAGUAAGGGUUUUGGUUCUUUUCUCCAAUCUUUUUGUUUAAUGAUUUUUUCCAUUAUGUUUUAGAAUUGCCAAGGUGCACUUGCCCCUGAAUUUCAAAGGACUUUCAAAGCCCUUAUUCAGAAGUAUAAUCCUUCCAUGGUUGCAUUGUUUGAACCAAGGAUAAGUGGGAAAAAGGCUGAUGAGUUUAUUUUUCGAAGUGGAUUUGAGCGGUCGCAUAGAAUUGAGGCCGAAGGUUUCUCCGGAGGUAUUUGGUUAAUGUGGAAAGACUGUGUUAAAGUGGAGGUGAUCAUAAACCAUAAGCAGUUCAUUCAUUUUCGUAUUGCUAAUGAUAUUGGUUUCAUCUCUUGGGUUACUGCAGUUUAUGCAAGUCCAAAUAAACAUAUUAGGAACCUUCUAUGGAAGGACCUUGAAGCAGUGGCUCGUAAUGUGCCGGGACCUUGGCUCCUUGGAGGUGAUUUUAAUACUAUUUUACAUCCCUCAGAGAGGAGAGGUGGUUCGACUCGCUUAAAUGGUGUUUGUCAGCGGUUUAGUGAUUGGUUUCAUCGGAAUCAGUUUUGUGAUCUUGAAUUCAGUGGGCCGAAAUUCACUUGGGAGAGAGGAAACUUGCUGAAGCGCCUAGAUAGAAGUUUUUGUAAUGAUGAGUGGGUUCAGAAAUUUGUAAAUUCCCAAGUCAUGCACUUGCCUAAACUCAACUCGGACCAUCGCCCUAUUCUAGUUAAUUUUGAGAGGGUAAGUCGGCAAGUUAGUGGUGUUAAGCCAUUCCGCUUCUUGGCGUCUUGGCUCACUGACAGCAGGUUUAAAACCUUUUUUUUUGAGACGUGGCGAGGGAGUGGAGAUUAUGUGAACUCGGCUGGCCAUUUUAUUACGGAGGUGCGGAAAUGGAACAAGGAGGUCUUUGGGUACAUACACAAACAGAAAAAUAAUAUCUUAGCAAGAUUGGCCGGAAUUCAACGUGCUCUAGAGUGGCACAGAUCUAGAAACCUGAUGGAUCUAGAGAUGAACCUAAAGAGGGAAUUGGAGAGUAUUUUGAGUCAGGAGGAGAUUUUGUGGUAUAAAAAAUCUAGGCGUGAUUGGAUUGAGUUUGGGGAUCGAAAUACUAAGUAUUUUCAUCGCCAGACAAUCAAGAGGAGAAGACAGAACCAAAUAGUGAUGCUUAAUGAUGAGCAUGACAAUUGGAUUGAGGAUGUGGAUAUUAUCAAGCUCAUGCUGUAACAUUUUUUAAGAAUCUUUAUACAAAAGAGCCUGGGGAGCAUAUCCCUUACCCUCUGGUGAGUAUAUUUCCUAGAGUUGAUGAGAUUAAUAUUGGCAAACUUAAUGCGGGAGUAUGUGAGGACAAAAUUAGGGAGGUAAUUUUUAGUAUGCAUCAUUUUAAGGCUCCGGGGAUUGAUGGCCUGUAUGCUAUAUUUUAUCAGACACAAUGGGAUACUGUGGGAAGUUCGGUUUGUAAUUUGGUGCAGGGGAUUUUUAAUGGACAGCGAAUUCCUAGUGAGAUUAAUAAAACUCUAAUUGUGCUUAUUCCGAAAGUUGAGCAUCCGGAUAGCCUCCGAUUAUAUCGACCUAUAAGUCUGUGUCCUGUCAUAUACAAAGCAAUUACGAAGAUUAUGGCGAAUAGACUAAAGGGCAUUCUCCCUGACUUGAUAGGGCCAAUGCAGACUAGUUUUGUCCCUGGAAGGCACAUAAGGGAGAAUAUUAUUAUUGCCCAGGAAAUUAUUUAUACCAUGCGUCGGAAGUCAGGAAAGAUUGGCCAGAUACUAAUUAAAGUGGAUCUGGAGAAAGCUUAUGAUAGACUAAGUUAGGAUUUCAUCUUUGAAACUCUAUGUGAAGCGGGGCUUCCGUAAAAUCUUAUCCAUAUCACAAUGGAUUGUAUCACUUCAGCCUCUAUGCAGAUUUUGUGGAACGGGGAAUGUACUGAGGAUUUUGUUCCAUCACGGGGGAUUAGACAAGGAGACCCUAUUUCUCCAUAUAUUUUUGUCCUUUGUAUCGAGAGACUUAGCCACAGAAUUCUUCGUGCGGUUAAUACUGGCACUUGGAGGCCAAUUCGACUUUCUAAGCGAGGUACCCCUAUCACUCAUGUAUUUUUUGCUGAUGAUUUAUUACUUUUUGCUGAAGCUUCUUGCAAUCAAGCUGCUAUGAUCAAUGAUGUUCUUAAUACGUUCUGCGUGAGCUCGGAGGCGAAGGUCAGUAAACAGAAGUCUCAAGUUUUCUUUUCUAAGAAUGUUAAACCGUGUAAUGUGCGUAAUAUUGGCACAACUCUUGGGUUCUCUAUGACUACGGAUUUGGGUAAUUAUUUGGGUAUGCUGGUUUUGCACUCGAGGGUUAGUAAAGCAACAUAUCAUGGCAUAUUAGAGAAUGUGGAGCGUAAACUAAAUGGUUGGAGUGCUAAACAUUUAUCUCUUGCUGGUAGAGUCACUCUCACACAGACUGUGCUGCAGGCGUUGUCGAUUUUUUCAAUGCAAACAACGAGACUACCUACAGCGAUUAUAACUAAACUUAAGCAUCAAUGCCGUAGAUUUAUUUGGAGUGGAAACUCGGAGGUUCAAAAGAUUCAUCUGAUUAAUUGGGCUGAGGUGUGUCGUUCGAAACUAUCAGGAGGUCUGGGAUUGAAGAAUUUAACGAUUAUGAAUGAAGCACUAUUAAUGAAACUUGGUUGGAGCUUGCUAGUCAAUAGUAAUAGCUACUGGGCACAGGUUCUCUGCUCGAAGUAUGGCUUUGAUCCUACCACUAUGUCAACUUCCUUGCCUACAAAAUAUGGCUCAUAUUUGUGGAAGGCUAUUGGUCGGGUUUGGCCAAAGGUUUUGCAGGGGCUACGAUGGAAUGUGAGGGACGGUAAGCGGAUUCGUUUUUGGCAGAAUGCUUGGGUUGCGGAUGUUGGGCCAUUCUUUCAUCUUGCCGUGGCUCCUAUUCCUGAAGCUAUUUUACAUGAUUGGGUAGCUGAUGCCAUUAGUUUUGAUGGUUCAUGGAAUUGGAGCCGUUUUGGUUUUCUUCUCCCUCAUAAUGUGGUCUUAAUGAUUGCAGCUAUUACGCCUCCUACCCCGGUUAGUAAGGCUGAUCAGUUUUAUUGGGGAUCAUCAAAUUCGGGAAUGUUCACGGCAAGAACAGCUUUUAACUCGAUUCUUGGAAACUUUGCUCAGGACGAGGAGGUGAGAUGGAAGAGUAUCUGGAAAUGGAGAGGGCCUCACAGAAUCCGGACUUUCCUUUGGCUUACUGCAAAGGAAAGAAUUAAAUGCAAAGCCGAGCUUUAUAGAAGACAUAUUGGGGUGGAUAUGAUAUGCAUGCGAUGUGGUUAUGCUGUAGAGGAUACGGCUCAUGCCCUUCGUGACUGUGUCACAUCUAGGAGAAUCUGGAAUAUGUUGUUAGCAGGUCAUAAGAGUGGUUCUUUCUUCACGUUGCCAACCCGUGAUUGGAUGUUCGCCAAUAUUCAAGGUAUGGGUAAUCAUGGUAGUAAUCGAGAAUGGAGUUGCAUAUUCGGAGUAGCCAUCUGGUGUAUAUGGGUGGCAAGGAAUCAAUUGCUUUUUGAAAAUAAAGUUGUGAAUGCGGAAAGCAUGGUUCGGGAUAUCAAGAUACGAGCUGAGGAGAUACUUCGUACUUCUGAGGCUUUUCAAAGUGAUAGCGGGCUGAGAGUUCAAGAUAUGUUUGGUUGGUUGCCUCCUCGAUGGCCGUAUUAUAAAUUAAACUCUGAUGGUGCAAGGAAGGGAUCCGGUUUGGCGGGUGCAGGGGGUUUAAUUAGAGAUGCUACUGGUAGAUGGCAUGGUGGCUUCUGCAUGAAUAUUGGUAUUUGUUCGGUAACAAUUGCAGAGUUUUGGGGUUUGUAUCAGGGACUGAUAUUGACUUGGAAAAUGGGUAUAAGAUUGUUGGUGGUGGAGAUAGAUAGCAUCUAUGUUACUCAGUUGCUAAACAGGAAAAGUCUUAAUGCUACCUUGCCUCUUGUUAAUGAUAUUCUUGGUCUUCUCUCCCGUGAGUGGUAGGUGUCUGUUCAUCAUGUUUAUCGCGAAGCUAAUUUCGCGGCAGAUUUCAUGGCUAGCCAUGCACUUACUCUCCCUCUUGGCAUUCACUAUUUUACUAUCCCUCCACUGGGCGUCAAGACCUGGCUUCGGAAUGCUGGGUUAGGAACUGCGUUUCCUCGUGCUUGUAAGCCUUAGCUUUUGCUGGGGUCCUUUGUUUUAGCAAAAAAUAAAAUAUUCUUUUAUCAUAAAAUUACUGUGUAUGAGUAUAUCGUCCAUUUAUUCGUUUGGAGAAUCGGAAGUCGUAUUUCAUACGUUCAACAGAAAGAGAAAUUUUUAGAAGAUGACAAAGAAAUGAGCCCAAUCAAGACCUUAAAAGGACUUUCAUAUCUUCCCAUCUUAUUGUCAAACAAAUGAAGUCUUCAGGAUAUUACUUUCAAAAUGGACAUGUAGCCAAAAGCUCUCAAUUUUCUUCUCCAAUUGCCUUCUUCUUUAAGCUGCGCGACAGGAUUAAUUUGGCGUAAGAGUUGGACACGUAUUUAAUCCUGCAGGUACUGACACUCCUUCAAUAUCCUUCUAAAACCCCAUUUUUGAAUUAAUUAAUUGAUCAUUGACGAAAAUCACAUAAAUGUACAAGUUUUAACUAAAACCGACGCAUACUUCUUACUGGAAUUCUUCUCGUCCGCACAAUGUUCGGCUUCCCAUCCACACAAAUCGUAAACACCAUUCUCUGCUUUAAGAUUUCUUGUGAUAAGUUCUAAAUAAUGUAAAACAAUAAUAAAAUUUAUGAAUAUAUGGGCUGGAGUGCAGGAAAAUCAUAAUAUAACGAGAAUAGCUGUCAUUGUAGUAUUUGUCCUUUUAUGUAAAUCUGGGUAAAGAUUGAAUUUUAAAUGCAAAAAUGGUGUUGUUUUAUAAAAAUUUUGGAGUUAGUGGCAAAUAGCAGAAAACAUAAGUUGGAGUAUCUACAUUAGAAAUAGGCCAGCGAUAUAAAGUUACUUUGCCUCAUAAAUAGAGUCGGCCUCUAAAAACAUUACUAAAAGGUUCUUUACGUGAAAUUUUAUUAUUUAUUUAAAAAAUCACAUCAUCUAUCAUUUUAAAACUCAUUUUAGAAUUAUACUUCUUCUAAUACUGAAAAGUAACAACACCCUUUAUUUCUAAACUAUUUAAUUUUUUUUCUACAGUUUUUAGUUGUUUUUUCACUCUAAAAAUUCUUCGAAAAAAAUAAAUAAAUUAAAAUCUUCUUCCCUCACCCUUCACAUAAAUAACUUUAUGGGUGAUAAAUUUUUUAAAGCAUUGUUAUCCUUAUUCUUCUCUUCAAACUUUCUCUCUCAACAAACCUAAAAAACAAUAGUUUCACAAAAAUUAUAAAAAUUAAUCAAUAAAAUAAAGAAAAAGAGAAAUGUGUUAUUUUAAAUUUUUGUAAACCAAUUGAAUAGUUAGAGUCAAAAAUUGAAAAAAAUUAACAAAAUAGAUUAAUAAUAAAUAUUAAGAGUUUGCAUUUUGCAGCAAUAUAGAGAAAAAAAUAGUGUAAGUAAAAGAGAUGGGAUAAAAUAUAAAUUGUUCAUUAUAUUUGUGUGUGUUUAUCCUUAAAUGUCAUUUUAAUGGAAGAGAAGUUUUAUCAUUAUAUUAAAAAGGUGUUAAAAGCACCACUAUCAGAAAACAAAAAUAUUGCUUGAAAUUUUUGCAGAUAAACAUGAAGGUAUUGUUUGGUUGGGAGGAGAGGAUGGAGGAGAGGAAAGUAAUUCAAAUUCUAUUUUUAUUUCCAUUGUUUGGUUGCACAUAAUAUAUAACAAUUUAAUUUCCAUUAAAAUUUAAUAUCCCUUAUAGUGUAGAAUUUGAAAUUCACACCAAAGAGUGAAGAAUUCAAAUUCCUCUUAUGUUGAAAAUCUAAGCUUCCAAAAUUGUCCUUAAACAUUUUUACUUGUUUAAUGCUAUUAAUAAUAAUUAUUUUAUAAUAUUAUAAAUAAUUUAAUAUUAAUUAUAUUUAAUGAAUGAUCUAAGAAAUUUAAUAAAAUAAAUAAACUUAUUUAUUUAUUUAAUAUAAAAAUAUAUAAAUAUAAAUUAACUACUUCUAGAAGAAUAUAGCUAUUUUGUGAUUAUUUUAUUAUAUACAAAAAGUGUAAUCAUUUUAAAGUAUUAAAGAAAAAAAUUAUAAUUUCUUUCUCUAUUAAAUUUUAUGUCAAACCAAACAAUGAAAUUUAAUUUUACUAUUUUCUUCCACUCCUUUCUUUUCCUCUCCUCCCCUUUCUUAAAACCAAACACCAGCGAAAAAUCUUGAGAAGAGAAGCAAAUUGAGUGGGUAUUGCUGCAGUGUUCACCAAAAUUUUUGUCAGAUUCCAUCUUCUAACGCCUCUAAUUUUAGAAUUGGAUCUUCAAUAUGUUGUUUUCUAACACUUGAGGAGAGUAGCAAAACCGGUGGCUAUUGCUGCAAUGUUUGCCAAAAUUUUGACCAAAUUCUAGCAUCGAAGGCCUCUAAUUUGCAUUAGAAUUGGGUCUACAAUAUGUUGUUUCAAAACUCUUGAUAAGAGGAGCAAACACAUAUGGCUACUGCCAUAAUAUCUGUCGAAUUUUUACACUCUUGUAACUAGCGUGAGCUCAAAAUAAUUAAUAAUCACAAUCAAAAUAUAAUGAAAAAAUAUAACGGACUACUUUUAGUUAUAAUCCCACUCAUGAAAACUAAAAACUGAGUGCUAAUAUUGAUAACACAAUAAUUAGAGGUAAAGAGUUCGGGUGUCCGAUGCUGCGGCCUUCUUUUAGUUUUAUUUAAAAAAGAAUUAGAAAUAAAAAUUUAUAAUAUAAUCCACACGUAAGUUGCGUACGACGAGUUAUUUAAUUGAGUUGCUUACGGGUCAAGUCAACUCCGGUGGGUCCGCGGCAAAAAUUAUUUUUUUACCUAAUGAGCAGAUAGAAACCGGAGAAGACGUUGGGGCAAAUAAUUCAGUAGGUCCACUGGAAACUAGGGUACGUGGGGCCUGUCGCAGAGGUGCCCACAUUCACAAAGAUUUGUUAUCACUCAGUAAUCAGUUGUAGCAUACAAUAUGAAUACAUGGAAAAAUCUUACCCAUUUUUCACGGUGUGAAUUUUGUGAAGAGCAAGAAAUUUCAUGCUAUUGUAGUAAAAAAGUUGCUAGCUAUAUGCAUGUGCUUAACAAAAGUUGGAUUCGGUGCUGACUUUUCAACAAAGCCGACCAUCCUAUUGCCUGGAAUUCCUCCCUUCUCUUCUUUCUUCUUUUACCUUGCAAUUUUCUUGUCAUGUCGUGCCAAUUUAAAAUAAUAUUCGUGCAUUAUACGAUGAACCCAUGAGCGAAACCACUUUUUCAUGAGUUUACACAUAUAAAUUCGGCACAAGUGCUAUUACUUUAUUCAAGUUUCAAUUAUAUUCGGGGUAUUCAGUUACUAACUUGUUUCCAAUGAGUGUUCUACAGUUGUCAUGGCUUUUCUUGAUACCGUUGUUGACGAAUUUCGGGGGAAUCAAUACGGUUUUGGUUUCUGGCCAGUGUCAGAGUGAUCAGCAAUCCUUGUUGCUCCAAAUGAAGAGCAGCCUAGUAUUCAAUUCUUCUCUGUCUUUCCGUAUGGUGCAGUGGAGUCAAAGCACCGAUUGCUGCACCUGGUGCGGUGUGGAUUGCGAUGAGGCUGGUCGCGUCAUUGGUCUCGACUUGAGCGAGGAAUCAAUCUCCGGUAGAAUUGACAAUUCAAGUCCCCUUCUCAGUCUAAAGUAUCUGCAGAGCCUAAAUUUGGCUUUUAAUAUGUUCAAUGCCACUGAAAUUCCAUCCGGAUUGGGAAACCUCACAAAUUUGACUCAUCUGAAUCUCUCCAAUGCUGGCUUCGCGGGGCAGAUUCCAAUUCAGGUUUCAGCGAUGACAAGGUUGGUUACUCUUGAUUUGUCAAGUUCGUACUCCUUCGGAGGUCCCUUGAAACUUGAGAACCCGAAUUUAAGUGGGCUCCUUCAGAACCUCGCAGAGCUCAGAGCACUGUAUCUUGAUGGUGUAAAUAUAUCAGCUCCUGGAAUUGAAUGGUGUCAGGCUUUAUCAUCUUUGGUGCCUAAACUGCGUGUUUUGAGCUUGUCCAGCUGUUACCUUUCAGGCCCUAUCCAUCCUUCCCUUGCAAAACUUCAGUCACUCUCAGUGAUUUGUUUGGAUCAGAAUGAUCUGUCGUCUCCAGUUCCAGAGUUUUUGGCUGAUUUCUUUAAUUUGACGUCGUUGAACCUCAGUAGUAGUGGGUUGAACGGGACAUUCCCAGAAACGAUUUUACAGGUACACACACUUCAGACACUUGACUUAUCAGGCAACAGUUUACUUCGGGGCUCUUUGCCUGAUUUUCCCAAGAAUAGCUCUCUUCGAACCCUGAUGCUCAGUUACGCAAACUUCUCAGGUGUACUACCAGAUUCCAUAGGCAACCUUAAAAAUUUGUCGAGAUUAGAUCUUGCACGUUGCAACUUGAGUGGAUCAAUUCCCACCUCAUUGGCCAAACUCACACAACUAGUUUAUCUGGAUCUAUCAUCUAACAAAUUUGUUGGUCCAAUCCCCUCUCUACAUAUGUCCAAAAAUCUCACCCAUCUAGACCUCUCAAACAACGCUCUGCCCGGUGCGAUCUCAUCCACAGACUGGGAACACCUCUCCAAUCUUGUUUAUGUUGACUUGAGGAACAAUGCACUCAAUGGAAGCAUCCCAAGAUCUCUGUUUUCAAUUCCAAUGCUGCAGCAGCUUCUGCUUGCCAACAACAAAUUUGGUGGCCCAAUUCCCGAAUUUUCAAAUGCAUCCUACUCUGCACUUGAUACGCUUGAUUUAAGUGCCAAUAGAUUAGAAGGGCCUAUUCCCAUGUCCAUCUUUGAACUCAAAAAUCUUAAAAUCCUUAUGCUUUCUUCUAACAAGCUCAAUGGCACUGUACAGCUAGCUGCAAUUCAGAGGCUUCGCAAUCUUAUUAGACUUGAGCUUUCAUACAACAACUUGACAGUGAAUGCCAGUGGUGAUUCUUCCUUCCCCUCACAGGUUAGAACACUGAGAUUGGCUUCUUGCAAACUGAAGGUGAUUCCUAAUCUUAAAAGUCAAUCAAAACUAUUUAACUUGGACCUUUCAGACAAUCAAAUUUCGGGGGAAAUACCAAAUUGGGUUUGGGAAAUCGGUAAUGGUGGUCUAGAAUAUCUAAAUCUGUCACACAAUCUGCUGAGCAGUCUGCAACGGCCUUAUAGUAUUUCUGAUCUCAAUCUCAUGACUGUCCUUGACCUACAUUCCAACCAGCUCCAAGGAAACAUCCCUCACCCACCACGAAAUGCAGUCCUUGUAGAUUACUCCAACAACAGUUUUACUUCUUCCAUCCCAGGUGACAUUGGUAAUUCCAUGAACUUCACCAUCUUUUUUUCCCUUUCAAGCAAUUCCAUCACAGGAGUCAUCCCUGAAACUAUUUGCAGAGCAAAAUAUCUAUUAGUUCUUGACCUCUCAAAUAACAAGUUGAGUGGGAAAAUGCCAACAUGUUUGAUCAAAAUGAGUGACAUUCUUGGUGUUCUAAAUUUGAGGGGAAACAGCCUUAGUGGCACUCUAUCUGUUACAUUUCCAGGAAAUUGUGGAUUAAAAACACUUGAUCUCAACGGAAAUCAACUAGGUGGCACAGUUCCAAAAUCCUUGGCCAAUUGCAGAAAGUUGGAGGUUCUAGACCUCGGGAAUAACAAGAUCAGAGAUACCUUUCCAUGCUGGCUAAAGAAUAUCUCAAGUUUGCGCGUCCUAGUUUUGCGAUCGAACAGCUUUUAUGGGAGUAUUACUUGUCGAGAGAACGAUGACUCCUGGCCAAUGCUUCAAAUUGUUGACAUAGCUUCGAACAACUUUGGCGGAAGAGUCCCCCAGAAAUGCAUAACUUCCUGGAAGGCAAUGAUGUCUGAUGAAGAUGAAGCACAAUCAAACUUCAAAGACGUCCAUUUUGAGCUCCUGACUGAUAUUUUCUAUCAGGAUGUAGUGACAGUUACCUGGAAAGGUCGAGAGAUGGAAUUAGUGAAGAUCCUAAGUAUAUUCACAUCCAUUGACUUUUCUAGGAACAAUUUUGACGGGCCAAUACCAGAAAAGAUAGGACGACUCAAAUCGCUUUAUGGUCUGAACUUUUCGCAAAAUGCUUUCGGAGGCCCCAUCCCAUCAACUAUUGGAAACUUGCAACAGCUUGAGUCUUUGGAUCUCUCAAUGAACCACCUGAGUGACCAGAUCCCCAUACAGCUUGCAAACCUAACUUUUCUUUCUGUUCUGAAUCUCUCACACAAUAACUUAGAAGGAAAUAUUCCAGUAAGUACUCAACUCCAAUCAUUUUCACCGACUUCUUUUGAAGGCAAUGAAGGAUUAUGCGGUGCUCCGUUAAAUGUUUGCCCACCAAAUUCCAGCAAGGCACUUCCUUCAGCACCAGCUUCAACAGAUGAAAUCGAUUGGUUUUUCAUAGUGAUGGCAAUUGGAUUUGCGGUAGGCUUUGGAUCAGUUGUUGCACCUCUAAUGUUUUCCAGGAGAGUAAACAAAUGGUACAACAAUCUCAUCAACAGAUUUAUCAACUGUCGUUUCUGCGUGUGAAAUAAUUUAUCUUGAUUUUAACAAUGUUAACAAGAAAUUUCAAGGAAGAGGAUAUAUUAUUUGGACAAUCUUUACCUCCAAUUCGAGUACUCCAAACCAGAUGCAGGCCAUUAAUUCAUAUAUGGACUUGCGUGCAUAUGAAGUCUUUAAAAGGACUUUUAUGUCUUCCCAUCUUAUUGUCAAACAAAUGAAGUCUUCGGGGUAGUACUUUCGAUAUGGACAUGUUACCAAAAGCCCUCAAUUUUCUUCUCCAAUUGCCUUCUUCUUUACGCUGCGCGACAGGAUUAACUGGGCGUGGGAGUUGGGACACAUAUUUAAUUCUACAGGUAUUGACAAUCCUUCAAUAUCCUUCUAAAACUCCAUUUUUGAAUUAAUUAAUUAGUCAUUGACGAAAAUCACAUAAAUGGACAAGUUUUAACUAAAACCUACUCGUACUUCUUACUGGAAUUCUUUUCAUCCGCACAAUGUUCGGCUUCCCAUCCACAUAAAUCGUGAACACCAUUCUCUGCUUUAAGAUUUCUUGUGAUAAGUUCUAAAUAAUGUAAAACAAUAGCAAAAUUUAUGAAUAUAUGGGCUGGCGUGCAGGAGAAUCGUAAUAUAAUGAGAAUAGCUGUCAUUGUAGACUUGUAGUUGUCCUUUUAUGCAAAUAUGAUUAAAGAUUGAAGUAGAAAUGCACAAAUGGUGUUGUUUUUGUUGAAAAAAUAGCAUAUCAUGCUAUUUUGAGGGCUUUUGAGUGGGUCACACUUAGCAAAAGUGGGAAAUCUUGUGAGAUUCGGAUUCUACUCCGUUAAUAUUUCAAAAGUAUAUGUUUAUUUUCUCAAAAUGGUGCUUGGGUGAAUGAGAAAUUGUCUCUCAAAUUUCACCUUUGAAGUUGGAAAUUUGAAAGGAAAUGAGGUUUAUCCCACAUGAGAAAAAGAAGCAUAGGGAUUAGUAUUUAUAUAUAAACACUUAACCAUAUAUAAACAAGAAUUUUAAGGAUAAAAGCUCUCUCUACACGCGCAUGCGCAGGGGGGUGCGAAUCCCUGAUUAAUUUGAUUAAACUCAUGUGCAUCCGCACGUCCUGCGUACGUGAAUGUCAGCCCAAAAUACCCAAGCUUGCAUGGCAUGAUUUUAAUUCCAAAAUUCAAUUCUUGUGCUGCUGUUACCUACCCACAUGCUACUCUGCACUUGAUACGCUUGAUUUAAGUGCCAAUAGAUUAGAAGGGCCUAUUCCCAUGUCCAUCUUUGAACUCAAAAAUCUUAAAAUCCUUAUGCUUUCUUCUAACAAGCUCAAUGGCACUGUACAGCUAGCUGCAAUUCAGAGGCUUCGCAAUCUUAUUAGACUUGAGCUUUCAUACAACAACUUGACAGUGAAUGCCAGUGGUGAUUCUUCCUUCCCCUCACAGGUUAGAACACUGAGAUUGGCUUCUUGCAAACUGAAGGUGAUUCCUAAUCUUAAAAGUCAAUCAAAACUAUUUAACUUGGACCUUUCAGACAAUCAAAUUUCGGGGGAAAUACCAAAUUGGGUUUGGGAAAUCGGUAAUGGUGGUCUAGAAUAUCUAAAUCUGUCACACAAUCUGCUGAGCAGUCUGCAACGGCCUUAUAGUAUUUCUGAUCUCAAUCUCAUGACUGUCCUUGACCUACAUUCCAACCAGCUCCAAGGAAACAUCCCUCACCCACCACGAAAUGCAGUCCUUGUAGAUUACUCCAACAACAGUUUUACUUCUUCCAUC